RNAcentral lists this ribosomal RNA (396 nucleotides) under uncultured bacterium. RNAcentral's name for it is "bacterial SSU rRNA". It matches the Rfam family "Bacterial small subunit ribosomal RNA", at positions 117 to 507 of the family's 1533-position model. The record is from RNAcentral.
GUACACAAUCUACCUCUAGGCGGGGGACACCUCCUGGAAACGGGGAUUAAUACCGCAUAAUAUGCCGAGGUCGCAUGACUUUGGUAUUAAAGCAGCAAUGCACUUAGAGAUGAGUGUGCGUCCCAUUAGGUAGUUGGUGAGGUAACGGGCUCACCAAGCCUAUGAUGGGUAGCCGGUCUGAGAGGAUGGUCGGCCACACGGGCACUGAGACACGGGCCCGACUCCUACGGGAGGCCAGCAGUAAGGAAUAUUGGUCAAUGGUGGAAACACUGAACCAGCCAUGCCGCGUGGAGGAAUAAGGCCCUACGGAUUGUAAACUCCUUUUGACGAGGAAGAAAGUGUUAGAUUUAUCUAAUUUUGACGGUACUCGUAGAAUAAGCACCGGUUAACUCCGUG